UACGAAGGGGGCUAGCGUUGUUCGGAUUUACUGGGCGUAAAGCGCAUGUAGGCGGGUCGUUAAGUCGGGGGUGAAAGCCCGGGGCUCAACUCCGGAACUGCCUUCGAUACUGGGGACCUUGAGCAAGGCAGAGGCGAGUGGAAUUGCGAGUGUAGAGGUGAAAUUCGUAGAUAUUCGCAAGAACACCAGUGGCGAAGGCGGCUCACUGGCCCGUUACUGACGCUGAGGUGCGAAAGCGUGGGGAGCAAACAGG
RNAcentral lists this ribosomal RNA (253 nucleotides) under uncultured bacterium. RNAcentral describes it as "partial 16S ribosomal RNA". It matches the Rfam family "Bacterial small subunit ribosomal RNA", at positions 524 to 776 of the family's 1533-position model. The record is from RNAcentral.